This 635-nucleotide long non-coding RNA is filed under the name Vitis vinifera (wine grape). Its description in RNAcentral is "long non-coding RNA (VVIN_LNC004204)". Lineage: Eukaryota; Viridiplantae; Streptophyta; Magnoliopsida; Vitales; Vitaceae. The record is from RNAcentral.
UAGUUACUUGUGCUAAGCCAACAUGGAGGAUCUAUCUUCAGAUCGGAAGCCCAAUAUGAAAGUCAACCCCUCAUUUCUAUCCAGAACUCAGUGGGAACGGCGGAUUGAAAGCUCAAAUUAGCCAACUAAAUGAGCUGUAAUCGGUAAUGAAACUAGAAUUAAGUUUAAAAACCAACAAAAAAACAACAAAGAAACAACAAAGAAACUCAAGUGAUUCUCACCAAUAUUUUCAGAUUCUUUCCAUCAAAAACAUAAAUCAAAGGCUUUAUUAUUACGCAAAGAAAAAGGGAAGAAAACAGCUGCCAAACAACAGUCCAACUAAGAAAGAAAAACCAAACUUAAUUGAGACGAAAACUCCAACACAAAAGUCAAAAUCACUGAUCAAACUAAACAAGAAGUAGAAGAGGAAAUGAAAUGAAAGAAAAAGAGUAUGCAGAGUAGCCUCAAACAAUUCAAUCCGAAACCAUGUAAAAAGAAAAGAAAACAAGAGUAGAAUCUAAGGAAGAAAUCAAGCUGACGGGAAAUCAAAAAUUGCACAUGAAAUAGAAGCGUGAAAUGAAAGAGGAUUAUUGCAGAGAUGGAUCUUAAUCUGAAGGGGUAUGAAAGAUGAGACAAGGUGGAGGUUUGGGUUGGGG